This 2114-nucleotide long non-coding RNA is filed under the name Nicotiana benthamiana. Its description in RNAcentral is "long non-coding RNA (NBEN_LNC008093)". The record is from RNAcentral. Lineage: Eukaryota; Viridiplantae; Streptophyta; Magnoliopsida; Solanales; Solanaceae.
AAAGGUUAGUUGAGAAAAUUGGUUUCAAUUUGAGACGUUAGUGUUUAUGGCUGAACUUGAAAACAAAAGAAAAGAGAAAGGAAAGGCCAACCAUUCUACGAAGCCCGUUUCCCUUUUCAGCAAACCCAGACCUCCCCAAAAAUCCGUUUACCCCAUCUAAGCAGCGGCGGCGUUUUGUCACGUUCAAUCGUGGCCGUUCGUUGAUCAAGAUCAGACAGUUUAGAACUAACCCACUCCACCACUUUUAAAUGUCGGAUUCCUUCUUCCCCUCCCCCUCACCCCCCAAGCCUGAAGACACCCUUCAUUUCCCUCUCUUCUCUAACGAACUAAACUUUAGCCCCCCUAAUAUUCCCACAAGCCCCCACCGACGGCCGCAAUCCUAGCACCACCAAAUGACUGCUAAAUCCACCCAAAUUAACAUAAUCAAGCAAAACCCAAGUUUAUUUUGUUCUCUUUUUCUUCUGUUUCCGUUUGAUUGAUGGGUUUGAAAUACGAUUGAUGGAAGUUUUAAGUCAUCGAUUAGUCGUCGAGUUUCAGACAAGGGUUAACGUUUACUAGCAUGACCUCUGUUAGGUAAUUUCUUUUCCUUUGAUUGUUCUUGUUAACUUUCUUGCUUCUUCUACUCUUCUAUAAGACCAUUCUAUAAAUAUUUGGUCUAGAAUAAUAUUAGUUAGACGAAUGUUAAUUUUUCCAGUUUGUUAUUGAUUGUUAAGUGUUUGGCUCAUUUAGUUAGAUUAAUUAUGUUAUCAGUCUAAUCUAAAAAAAAAAAAGGAAACAUGAAUUGUUGCACUCAAUCGUUUUUACUUUCCGAUUUUGUUUUUUUCUACUUUUUAUUUUCUCUUUGUGAUUUUUCGUUCUAGAUUGGGCGGGUUUGUUAAGGGCCAUUUGUCCAUGGGCACCCGACCAGGACCAGUCUGGUUUUGAAGGGAAUAGAAAUGGCCAUUUUGGCAAAAGAAAAAAGGGGUGGAGUCUAAAAAACAACAACAAUCAGGUAUAAUAUAAUUUAAUGAGGUCUGGGGAGGGUAGUAUGUACGCAGACCUUACCUCUACCCUUGGGUAGAAAGGUUGUUUCCAAAUAGACCCCCGACAUUCCUCCCUCCAAGAACUUCCCAACUUGCUCUUGGGGAGACUCAAACUCACAACCUUUUGAUUGAAAUUGGGGUUGCUUACCACCACAGCAACCCCUCUUGUCUAGGGGUGAGUCUAAAAAGAAUAAAGGAAAAUGAUUAACAGUAGAGAGGUAGCUGGUAUUUUUUCAGUUACAAAUAUCCUUCCUCUCUCUCAUUUCUCUGAUUUCACGUUUCCUCUCUCAUAGAGCAGACACAUAGUUCCUAUAUAAAGGACCUCACAUUCAUUCACUCACAGACGAAUCAGAUUGCAAAUUUUCAGAUAUCUUUCAUUUUUCUUCACUCUCAUUUUUCAAUAAAGAAGUUUCUAACAUCUAAAAAAAACUAAAAAGAAAAGGUUCAAGGUUUUCUUUUGAGUUCAAAUCUUCUGCUACAAGUUCUGGGUUUAUAGCUGUUGAAGUUAGAAAAGAGUCACUAUUUUGUUGCUGUAUUGAUUCUGCUGGAUUAAGCUGUAGAUAUGCAGUUCAAACUUGCUCCUUUAUUUUCUUGUUUCUAUUUGACUAUUAGUAGGUGAGCUUAUCCACCUCGUUAGUUCCUAUUUGAACUAUAAUUAAUUAGAUUUGUUUAUGCUAUACUCUUGCAAUUGGGCUUCACAUGAAAGCCCAUUUCCACCUCAUUUAUCCCUUAUGGCAUUUUACCCUAUGGAUUUUUUCCUAUCAAACUUUAUUACUAAAAAUAUGCAUACUUUCAUUAUUACUCGCCAUGUUUAUAUUUUUACUACAAAAUUUAUACCUUUCAUUAAAUAUUCAAUAUUAUGAAUUGAUUCCUUCCAAAUUAGGCGCCUACAAAUCUGGAAAAUUUCUACACUUCAUUAAAUACAAAAUCUGGAAAGUUUUUGUUUUUGUUUUUCUUUUCCUUCACUGAGCCGAGGGUCGAUUGGAAACAGCCUCUCUGNNNNNNNNNNNNNNNNNNNNNNNNNNNNNNNNNNNNNNNNNNNNNNNNNNNNNNNGGGUUGAUUGGAAACAGCCUCUCUGCCCUUUCGGGUAG